This 728-nucleotide ribosomal RNA is filed under the name Bacillus sp. PRIM-3. Its description in RNAcentral is "bacterial SSU rRNA". It matches the Rfam family "Bacterial small subunit ribosomal RNA", at positions 389 to 1108 of the family's 1533-position model. The record is from RNAcentral. Lineage: Bacteria; Bacillati; Bacillota; Bacilli; Caryophanales; Bacillaceae.
GAGCACGCCGCGUGAGUGAUGAAGGUUUUCGGAUCGUAAAACUCUGUUGUUAGGGAAGAACAAGUACCGUUCGAAUAGGGCGGUACCUUGACGGUACCUAACCAGAAAGCCACGGCUAACUACGUGCCAGCAGCCGCGGUAAUACGUAGGUGGCAAGCGUUGUCCGGAAUUAUUGGGCGUAAAGCGCGCGCAGGCGGUUUCUUAAGUCUGAUGUGAAAGCCCCCGGCUCAACCGGGGAGGGUCAUUGGAAACUGGGGAACUUGAGUGCAGAAGAGGAGAGUGGAAUUCCACGUGUAGCGGUGAAAUGCGUAGAGAUGUGGAGGAACACCAGUGGCGAAGGCGACUCUCUGGUCUGUAACUGACGCUGAGGCGCGAAAGCGUGGGGAGCGAACAGGAUUAGAUACCCUGGUAGUCCACGCCGUAAACGAUGAGUGCUAAGUGUUAGAGGGUUUCCGCCCUUUAGUGCUGCAGCAAACGCAUUAAGCACUCCGCCUGGGGAGUACGGUCGCAAGACUGAAACUCAAAGGAAUUGACGGGGGCCCGCACAAGCGGUGGAGCAUGUGGUUUAAUUCGAAGCAACGCGAAGAACCUUACCAGGUCUUGACAUCCUCUGACAACCCUAGAGAUAGGGCUUCCCCUUCGGGGGCAGAGUGACAGGUGGUGCAUGGUUGUCGUCAGCUCGUGUCGUGAGAUGUUGGGUUAAGUCCCGCAACGAGCGCAACCCUUUG